GCCCUUCGGGGCAUAUGGUCAAUCUGAAAAUAUACAGAAAAGAUUAGCUGGCCCCUGCACUAAGGAUGAUACGCUCAACCAAAGAGAACAUACCCAUAUUU
RNAcentral lists this small nuclear RNA (101 nucleotides) under Penicillium griseofulvum. Lineage: Eukaryota; Fungi; Ascomycota; Eurotiomycetes; Eurotiales; Aspergillaceae. The record is from RNAcentral.